Long non-coding RNA from Chinchilla lanigera (long-tailed chinchilla), 523 nucleotides. RefSeq lists it as uncharacterized. The transcript has 4 exons. The record is from RefSeq and is a predicted model, not a curated record. NCBI's taxonomy places the organism in Eukaryota, Metazoa, Chordata, Mammalia, Rodentia, Chinchillidae.
UUCCCUUUCAAUCUCUCCCUUUCUCUUUCCCUUCCCUCUCUCUCCCUCCCUCCCUCCCUCAAUUGUUCCAAAUGGAAAGGUCCUAGAGAGGCUUGAUACCCAAGGAGCCGCGCAAGCCCCACCUGUGUUUCAGAGGAUGGCCUUCUCCAGGCUUCUGCAAGAGGGCCUUUACUGAACGUCCAAGUGUGCUCCAUCCCACUACUGGCAAGCCUGAUGUCCAGGACCUCUCCUAGGCCCUCUCCGCACCCCACCCUGCUGCUCCCCAAGUUACUGCCAGUUUUUUUCUGGGACGUCCAGAGUGUCACUUUGGCUCUCUAUUUGGAACUCUUUGUUGCUGAAAGUCUAAGAACAUUUCUGCACAGUACUCUAUCCAUCUGCCCGCAUGUAAUAUACACCACUGUGCUACAGCUGUACAGGCGAAGUGCAAGAACUAGUGUGCAGAAAAUAUUAAACAGGAGCAACAGUUCAUCUGGACAUUAAAGCACUGGUUGAGGAUACCAUACAACAGCUAGGCUGAACUCAG